CCUUGAGAGUCCUGAAGGAACGUUGAAGACGACGACGUUGAUAGGCCGGAUGUGUAAGCGCAGCGAUGCGUUGAGCUAACCGGUACUAAUGAACCGUGAGGCUUAACCUUACAACGCCGAAGCUGUU
RNAcentral lists this ribosomal RNA (127 nucleotides) under Escherichia coli. RNAcentral describes it as "partial 23S ribosomal RNA". The stretch from base 1 to 110 matches the Rfam family "Bacterial large subunit ribosomal RNA", at positions 2813 to 2925 of the family's 2925-position model. The record is from RNAcentral. Lineage: Bacteria; Pseudomonadati; Pseudomonadota; Gammaproteobacteria; Enterobacterales; Enterobacteriaceae.